GUGUUCACUUUGGCAGCACAUAUUCUAAAAAUUGGAAGGACACAGAGAAAAUUAGCAUGACCCCUGAGUGAGGAUGACAUGCAAAUUAAAAAAUAUGCUGGUGACCUAG
Molecule: small nuclear RNA, 109 nt
Organism: Manis pentadactyla (Chinese pangolin)
Lineage: Eukaryota; Metazoa; Chordata; Mammalia; Pholidota; Manidae
Source: RefSeq, a predicted model, not a curated record